This 4488-nucleotide long non-coding RNA is filed under the name Zea mays. Its description in RNAcentral is "long non-coding RNA (ZMAY_LNC000999)". The record is from RNAcentral. Lineage: Eukaryota; Viridiplantae; Streptophyta; Magnoliopsida; Poales; Poaceae.
AUUGCAAUACUCAAGAUACAUCUUCUUUGAACCCAUCUAAAAAUGCAAGGUAAUUAAAAUGUACACUCGACAGACUAAUGGAUUUAGGAAUUGUUUGAACCAAUCUAGAAAAAUGCAAUCUAAGUGCUUGUGCUCACGUACCUUGAGCAGUAGCAAACAAGGGUUUCCUGGUGUCCUCAGCUUGCAACAAGUCCCUGAAAAAGAUGAAGAAAAUAUUAAUGAUGGUCUCAUACUAAAUAUGCUAUACUGUAACUAGAAAUCUAUUGUAGCAAGGUAAAAAUCAUGUUGUCUACAUGGUUAUUAAAACGUCGUUUAAACGACGUUUAAGCGUCGUUUAAAUGCUAAAACGCGUUUAAUAGCUAGAACGUCCAAACGUUUUACAGAUACUGCGUAGAACGUCCAUUCUGGACGUUUCAACGGCGUUUAAACGUCGGAAAGCACGUUCUGGACGUUUAAUACGUUUUAGGGACGUUCUAUGCGCAUACCGUUCGUGGGCCUUAAUGGGCCUGCGCCCAGCCGCUCAACGCCAUCGCGCCCGGCCACCUGCGCCCAGCCGCCAGAGGACAUCGCGCCCAGCCGCCAGACGACCAGACGCGUCGCGCCCAGCCGCCAGACGCCAUCGUGCCCAGAGCCGCCAGCCGCCAGAGCCAGGUACGCCGCCGGCCCCUCCUCCCUCCUCCCUCUUCCCUCCACCUACAGGCUCCAACCCGGUAGAGCCGCCAGAGCCAGGUGCGCCAUUGCUCCUGGUCCCGAGCUCCAGGCGCCAUUGCUCGUUGCUCCAGGUCCCGGUUCCCAGACCCAGUCCCAGUGCAGUGCUCCAUACCCAGUCCUACUGCAGCGCCAUACCCAGUCCUACUGCAGCGCCAUACCCAGUGUUCCAGUGGCAAUACCCAGUGUUCCAGUGGCCAGUGCAGUGCAGUGAAGCAGCCACCAGCAGUGCGUAGUGAGCCAAUGCUCCAGCUACUGUGUGACUGUGUGUUGCAAGCUAAAUGUAUAAUAUAUUAAUAUCAUUCUGCUGUGUGUUGUAGGCUAAAGUGUGGCAGUGAAUUUCAAUUUCAAUGGCAACAAAUAGCGAGGCUAAUGACUCCUAUGACCCACUCAAAGAUCAGUCACGAAGGCCAAAGUCAAAUGAUCCAGGAUGGAAAUAUGCAUACUAUGUUGAGGCGGGAAAGCGAGAGCUGAUUCAAUGUGCUUUGUGCCCCAAACAAAUAAAAGGAGGUAUCAAGAGGGUGAAACAACAUCUAGCUGGUGGCUAUGGAGAGAUUGUCAAGUGUCCUAACACUACUAGAGAGAUUGCUAAAGAGAUGAAUGAAGCUUUGAAUAAUGGGAAGCGGGCUAGGCCGUUGUACCUAGAUGACGAUGUAAUGGAAGAUGAAGCAGAACAAGAAGAUGAUGUCCAAGUUAUGGGAAGCAGGUCAAUGUCAGCAUCAUCCAAGGCUUCCUCGUGUACUGUGCCAAGUUCUGGAACAGCUGCCAAAAGAAACAAAGCAAUUUUCCAAUUGAAGCCCCACCCAAUAGCAGCUCCAAAGAAGUCCAUUGCAUCUAUGAUUCGACGUACACUUCAAGAGGUUGUAGCAGAGAGACAUGCAAAGGGACCUGCUCAAACUACCAUAAGUGCUACCAUGAAGCCUAAGGAAGAAAGAAAUUCUAUUUGUUUGGAGAUAGCCAAGUUUUUCUAUGAGUGUGGUAUACCAUUCAAUGCUGCGAACUCAAGGCAAUUUGAGGUAGCUGUGGAGGCUAUUGCUCAAUAUGGAUCUGGGUUCAAGCCUCCUACUUUCCAUGAGCUACGUGAGCCUUUACUUGCUAGGGCUGUCAAAGACAUAGAUGAUGAGAGGAAGAAGCAUGAGGAUGCAUGGAGCCAGUAUGGUUGCACACUCAUGUCUGAUGGUUGGACAGACAAAAGAGGUCGCCAUUUGAUCAAUUUCCUUGUUAACAGCCCUCAAGGAACAUUCUUCUUGGAGUCAGUUGAUGCAUCAAAUGAGUGAUACAGUGCAGUGAUGCUUGCAGACUUGUUAGAAAAGAGAAUUGAGGGGAUUGGUAAGCAAAACGUUACUCAGAUUGUCACUGAUAAUGGUGCUAAUUAUAAGGCAGCAUGUAAGAUUUUGAUGGAGAGGAUUCCUACAUUGUUCUGGACUCCUUGUGCGGCACAUUGCUUGGACCUUAUGUUGGAGGACAUAGGAAAGCUGAAGGAUUUUAAGAAGCCUAUUGCUCGUGCUCGUCAUGUCACCACUUUUAUUUAUAGACAUGGGAGGAUACUUAGUGAAAUGAGGGUGCAUACAAAUGGGAUGGAUCUUGUGAGACCUGCUGCUACUAGAUUUGCUACUGCCUUCCUUACCAUGAAGAGUUUGCACAAGCACAAGAACUCAUUGAAAGGUCUAUUUUCAAGUGAUGUUUUCACUCAAUCCAAGGUAUCCAAAACAGAGGCAGGUAAAAAAGCAUAUGACAUCGUUUUCUCUCAAGAAUUUUGGAAUUCAAUUGAGGAUUGUCUUAGAGCUUCUUUACCGCUUCUUGUCGUGCUGAGAUUGGUUGAUGGUGAUGAGAAGACAGCCAUGGCUGAGGUUGCUGCAGCCAUGACUAUAGCAAAGAAUAAGAUUACCUCCUCAUUUUCUACUCAAAACAAGAAAGCAUGUCUGAAACGUAUCAUGAGCAUUGUGGAUCGACGUUGGGCGAACCAAAUGGAUACCCCAUUAUAUGGAGCAGCACUAUAUUUGAACCCUGGAAAAUUCUACAAUAUCAAAGCAGGUGUUGAUGAAGGCUAUGUUGGAGAGCUAAGGGGUUGCUUUAAUGAUGUGCUUGUCAAAAUGGUGGUAGAUGAGGAUCUUAGAGAGAAGAUUGAUGCCCAAGCUGUUCUUUAUGAGAACCAAAGAGAGGCAUUUGCAAAUCCAAUGGCUAUAAAAAAUGCACAAACAAGGAAUCCACGUAAGUAUUCUAAAAUUGAUAGCCUCCCAUUCAUUUUCAGCACUAAACAUAUAAUCUUUGUUCUUGCCAUUUUAGUUGAUUGGUGGCUUGCAUAUGGUGGUCGUACCAUUGAACUAUAUAAGUUUGCAAGACGGAUUGUUAGUCUUUGUGCUUCAUCAUCCGGUUGUGAGCGGAAUUGGAGUACAUUUGAAUUUGUAAGUGAGCUAGUCAAAUUAUUCAAUUUCGUUUCGCCACUACGUUUAUCCUUAGUUCUUCAUUGGUUAAAUGGUUGCUUCUAUUUGCACUUGUAGAUGCAUACCAAAAAGAGGAAUAGGUUGGAGCACAAAAGGUUGAAUGACUUGGUAUAUGUUUCAUACAACAAAAAGAUGGCUGAUAGGUUUCAAAAAAUACGCGAGGAAGGAAAAAACUUUGAUCCUUUGAUUUUAGAAGACUUUGAUUGGGACAAUGAAUGGGUUGAUCCAUUAGCUAAUUCUUCUCAUGUUAGCAAUGCUCUUGGAGAUGAUUUCAAUUUAUCGUGGGACCAAGUUGAUGAAGCUAUUGGUGCAUCUGCACAUCUCAGAGGUCGUAAUUUUCCUAGGAGAGCUGCUGGUGGGUGUGUGAGAAGGAAUGAAGACCUUGAGGAAGAGGAAACUAAUUUAGCAAAUGAAGAUGACGAGGAUGAGGAAUAUAUUCUUGAUGAUCUUGAUGUGGAAGAUGAAAUUGAAGGAAGCAAUAGUGGAAACGAUGGUGAUGAUCAAGGCGUGGAUGCUCAUGGUCUUAAUACUGAUGAGUUCGAUGAUGGUUACUAAUCAUGCAUGAAAGUUGUAACUUGUGUUGUGUGGUUGAACUUGUGUUGUUGAACUUGAUCUGUUUCUUUUUAUGCUAAUGCUAUUUGGUUUGUGAACUCAACUUAUGUAUAAACUUAUUCUAUAUUUGAAAUUCUAUGUCAAGUCUGAAAAGACGUUUCAACGUUCGUUUAAACGUUUAAACGUUGAAAAGUUGGUUCAUAACGUUUUAACGUUUUACCGUUUUAAUAACCAUGGUUGUCUAGCUGUAGCAAUUGAAAUAAAAGCAAAUCUAAAAUAGUACUCGAUUUAUCAAAUGCCAAAUACCGAUGUGUGGUCGGACUACCACUAACAGCCAUGUGGCCGGACUACCUAAGCUCAUGGCAACCGACCAGAUCUAGCACAAACAGCCAUGGCAACCGGCCAUAUCUAGGACAAAUCUAGGACAAGGCGUCAGAAGACAACUACGACGAGAAGGCACUACGGCGCUCGAUCACUCUGCUGAGUUGAUUCGCCACACGGUCUGAUGCUAGCGCCAGCAACCAUCGACCAGGCGAGGCCGCAAUAGGAGAUGAACUAAAGGACGAAACAUAGGCGAGGAGGCAUCAUGCAGAUUGGGAAUGAGCUCACCUUCUGAUGGCGGUCGACGGCCAGCAGCAGAUCCAGUGGUCCAAGCGUCAGAGUUGCGGUGGAGGUGCUAGGGCCGGCGCUGGCACUCUGGAGAAGUGUGGCGGGUCUCAGGUUUGUGGCGGCCGAAUCGGCAGCCUCAAGUGCGACGAAAAGUUAUGUGGUGAAAGAAGAUAAG